This 504-nucleotide ribosomal RNA is filed under the name uncultured bacterium. RNAcentral's name for it is "partial 16S ribosomal RNA". It matches the Rfam family "Bacterial small subunit ribosomal RNA", at positions 30 to 523 of the family's 1533-position model. The record is from RNAcentral.
AUUGAACGCUGGCGGCAGGCCUAACACAUGCAAGUCGAACGGUAGCACAGAGAGCUUGCUCUCGGGUGACGAGUGGCGGACGGGUGAGUAAUGUCUGGGAAACUGCCCGAUGGAGGGGGAUAACUACUGGAAACGGUAGCUAAUACCGCAUAACGUCGCAAGACCAAAGUGGGGGACCUUCGGGCCUCACACCAUCGGAUGUGCCCAGAUGGGAUUGGCUAGUAGGUGGGGUAAUGGCUCACCUAGGCGACGAUCCCUAGCUGGUCUGAGAGGAUGACCAGCCAAACAAGAACUGAGACACGGUCCAGACUCCUACGGCAGGCAGCAGUGGGGAAUAUUGCACAAUGGGCGCAAGCCUGAUGCAGCCAUGCCGCGUGUAUGUAGGAGGCCGUCGGGUUGUAAAGUACUUUCAGCGGGGAGGAAGGCGGUGAAGUUAAUAACUUCACCGAUUGACGUUACCCGCAGAAGAAGCACCGGCUAACUCCGUGCCAGCCGCCGCGGUAA